This 425-nucleotide ribosomal RNA is filed under the name uncultured Actinomycetes bacterium. RNAcentral describes it as "bacterial SSU rRNA". It matches the Rfam family "Bacterial small subunit ribosomal RNA", at positions 958 to 1385 of the family's 1533-position model. The record is from RNAcentral. Lineage: Bacteria; Bacillati; Actinomycetota; Actinomycetes.
AACGCGAAGAACCUUACCAAGGUUUGACAUGGCCGGAAAAGCAUCAGAGAUGGUGUGUCCUUCGGGUCGGUCACAGGUGGUGCAUGGCUGUCGUCAGCUCGUGUCGUGAGAUGUUGGGUUAAGUCCCGCAACGAGCGCAACCCUCGUCCUAUGUUGCCAGCGGGUCAUGCCGGGGACUCAUGGGAGACUGCCGGGGUCAACUCGGAGGAAGGUGGGGAUGACGUCAAGUCAUCAUGCCCCUUAUGUCUUGGGCUGCAAACAUGCUACAAUGGCCGGUACAGAGGGCUGCGAACUCGCGAGAGUAAGCGAAUCCCGGAAAGCCGGUCUCAGUUCGGAUCGGGGUCUGCAACUCGGCCCCGUGAAGCUGGAGUCGCUAGUAAUCGCGGAUCAGCAACGCCGCGGUGAAUACGUUCCCGGGCCUUGUA